RNAcentral lists this ribosomal RNA (552 nucleotides) under Ursus thibetanus (Asiatic black bear). RNAcentral's name for it is "partial large subunit ribosomal RNA". It matches the Rfam family "Bacterial large subunit ribosomal RNA", at positions 1817 to 2597 of the family's 2925-position model. Lineage: Eukaryota; Metazoa; Chordata; Mammalia; Carnivora; Ursidae. The record is from RNAcentral.
CACCUCCAGCAUUCCCAGUAUUGGAGGCACUGCCUGCCCGGUGACAUUAGUUAAACGGCCGCGGUAUUCUGACCGUGCAAAGGUAGCAUAAUCAUUUGUUCUCUAAAUAAGGACUUGUAUGAAAGGCCACACGAGGGUUUAACUGUCUCUUACUUCCAAUCAGUGAAAUUGACCUUCCCGUGAAGAGGCGGGAAUAAAACAAUAAGACGAGAAGACCCUAUGGAGCUUUAAUUAACUAGCUCAAAAGAAUCCAUCUACCAGACCAACAGGAACAACAUACUCCUUCCAUGAGCUAACAAUUUAGGUUGGGGCGACCUCGGAGCAUAAAACAACCUCCGAGUGAUAUUAAUCUAGACGUACCAGUCAAAAUGCUCACUUACUUAUUGAUCCAAAAACCUCUUUGAUCAACGGAACAAGUUACCCUAGGGAUAACAGCGCAAUCCUAUUUAAGAGUCCAUAUCGACAAUAGGGUUUACGACCUCGAUGUUGGAUCAGGACAUCCUAAUGGUGCAGCAGCUAUUAAGGGUUCGUUUGUUCAACGAUUAAAGUCCU